UUUGAUGAAUCUAAUUAAGAAUUAUUAUGAUAUAAUAAAAUUUAUAUGAUAAAUUCAUAUCUUCAAAU
Molecule: transfer RNA, 68 nt
Filed under: Aulacus sinensis
Lineage: Eukaryota; Metazoa; Arthropoda; Insecta; Hymenoptera; Aulacidae
Description: tRNA-Ile
Source: RNAcentral